RNAcentral lists this ribosomal RNA (409 nucleotides) under uncultured bacterium. RNAcentral's name for it is "bacterial SSU rRNA". It matches the Rfam family "Bacterial small subunit ribosomal RNA", at positions 354 to 777 of the family's 1533-position model. The record is from RNAcentral.
GUGGGGAAUAUUGCACAAUGGGCGAAAGCCUGAUGCAGCAACGCCGCGUGAAGGAAGACGGUUUUCGGAUUGUAAACUUCUAUCAAUAGGGAAGAAAGAAAUGACGGUACCUAAAUAAGAAGCCCCGGCUAACUACGUGCCAGCAGCCGCGGUAAUACGUAGGGGGCAAGCGUUAUCCGGAAUUACUGGGUGUAAAGGGAGAGUAGGCGGCAAGGUAAGCGAUAUGUGAAAGCCUUAGGCUUAACCAAAGGAUUGCAUAACGAACUAUCUAGCUAGAGUACAGGAGAGGAAAGCGGAAUUCCUAGUGUAGCGGUGAAAUGCGUAGAUAUUAGGAAGAACACCAGUGGCGAAGGCGGCUUUCUGGACUGAAACUGACGCUGAGGCUCGAAAGCGUGGGGAGCGAACAGGA